Molecule: ribosomal RNA, 468 nt
Filed under: uncultured bacterium
Lineage: Bacteria
Description: partial 16S ribosomal RNA
Rfam family: Bacterial small subunit ribosomal RNA
Source: RNAcentral
GACGAACGCUGGCGGCGUGCUUAACACAUGCAAGUCGAACGGAAAGGCCCUGCUUUUGUGGGGUGCUCGAGUGGCGACCGGGUGAUUAACACGUGAGUAACCUGCCCUUGACUUUGGGAUAACUUCAGGAAACUGGGGCUAAUACCGGAUAGGAGCUCCUGCUGCAUGGUGGGGGUUGGAAAGUUUCGGCGGUUGGGGAUGGACUCGCGGCUUAUCAGCUUGUUGGUGGGGUAGUGGCUUACCAAGGCUUUGACGGGUAGCCGGACUGAGAGGGUGACCGGCAACAUUGGGACUGAGAUAGGGCCCAGACUCCUACGGGAGGCAGCAGUGGGGAAUAGUGCACAAUGGGAGGAAGCCUGAUGCAGCAACGCCGCGGGCGGGAUGACGGCCUUCGGGUUGUAAACCGCUUGCGCCUGUGACGAAGCGUGAGUGACGGUAAUGGGUAAAGAAGCACCGGCUAACUACGUG